GUAGGGAAUAUUGGACAAUGGGCGAAAGCCUGAUCCAGCAAUGCCGCGUGAGUGAUGAAGGCCUUAGGGUUGUAAAGCUCUUUUACCAGGGAUGAUAAUGACAGUACCUGGAGAAUAAGCUCCGGCUAACUCCGUGCCAGCAGCCGCGGUAAUACGGAGGGAGCUAGCGUUGUUCGGAAUUACUGGGCGUAAAGCGCGCGUAGGCGGCGAUUUAAGUCAGAGGUGAAAGCCCGGGGCUCAACCCCGGAAUAGCCUUUGAGACUGGGUUGCUAGAAUCCUGGAGAGGUUAGUGGAAUUCCGAGUGUAGAGGUGAAAUUCGUAGAUAUUCGGAAGAACACCAGUGGCGAAGGUGGCUCACUGGACAGGUAUUGACGCUGAGGUGCGAAAGCGUGGGGAGCAAACAGGAUUAGAAACCCCGGUAGUCC
Molecule: ribosomal RNA, 425 nt
Filed under: uncultured bacterium
Lineage: Bacteria
Description: partial 16S ribosomal RNA
Rfam family: Bacterial small subunit ribosomal RNA
Source: RNAcentral